This 468-nucleotide ribosomal RNA is filed under the name uncultured bacterium. RNAcentral describes it as "partial 16S ribosomal RNA". It matches the Rfam family "Bacterial small subunit ribosomal RNA", at positions 28 to 507 of the family's 1533-position model. The record is from RNAcentral.
GAUGAACGCUGGCGGCGUGCUUAACACAUGCAAGUCGAACGGAAAGGCCGAAGCUUGCUUCGGUACCCGAGUGGCGAACGGGUGAGUAACACGUGGGUGAUCUGCCCUGUACUUCGGGAUAAGCUUGGGAAACUGGGUCUAAUACCGGAUAUGACGAUCUCUUGGAUGGGGUUGUGGAAAGCUUUUGCGGUAUGGGAUGAGCUCGCGGCCUAUCAGCUUGUUGGUGGGGUAAUGGCCUACCAAGGCGUCGACGGGUAGCCGGCCUGAGAGGGUGUACGGCCACAUUGGGACUGAGAUACGGCCCAGACUCCUACGGGAGGCAGCAGUGGGGAAUAUUGCACAAUGGGCGCAAGCCUGAUGCAGCGACGCCGCGUGGGGGAUGACGGCCUUCGGGUUGUAAACUCCUUUCGCAAUCGACGAAGCCUUUUGGUGACGGUAGGUUGAGAAGAAGCACCGGCUAACUACGUG